Molecule: ribosomal RNA, 500 nt
Filed under: uncultured Nitrospirota bacterium
Lineage: Bacteria; Pseudomonadati; Nitrospirota
Description: bacterial SSU rRNA
Rfam family: Bacterial small subunit ribosomal RNA
Source: RNAcentral
GACGAACGCUGGCGGCGUGCCUAACACAUGCAAGUCGUGCGAGAAAGCCCCUUCGGGGGUGAGUACAGCGGCGGACGGGUGAGUAACACGUGAGUGAUCUACCCGGCGGCGGGGGACAACCCAGGGAAACCUGGGCUAAUACCGCAUACAGCGGAGGGAGUAGGUGCCCUUCGUGAAAGCUGGCCUCUCCAUGGAAGCUAGCGUCGCCGGAGGAGCUCGCGGCCUAUCAGCUUGUUGGUGGGGUAACGGCCUACCAAGGCUAUGACGGGUAGCUGACGUGAGAGCGUGAGCAGCCACACUGGGACUGAGACACGGCCCAGACUCCUACGGGAGGCAGCAGUGGGGAAUAUUGCGCAAUGGGCGAAAGCCUGACGCAGCGACGCCGCGUGGGGGAGGAAGGCCUUAGGGUUGUAAAGCACUUUCAGUAGAGAAGAAAAGCACAAGGUUAAUAACCUUGAGUCUUGACGUAACCUACAGAAGAAGCACCGGCUAACUCCGUG